Long non-coding RNA from Cyprinodon tularosa, 1081 nucleotides. RefSeq lists it as uncharacterized. The transcript has 2 exons. The record is from RefSeq and is a predicted model, not a curated record. Lineage: Eukaryota; Metazoa; Chordata; Actinopteri; Cyprinodontiformes; Cyprinodontidae.
UUGUGUUUUAUCCAACUUUAUAUCAGGUUUGCUGUAAGAGUACGACUGAGAAGUUUGUGUAUCUUAAGAAGGAUGGCUUCCAAUGCUGUGGUCAUCACUACUACAACACUUCUUUGUGGACUUGCAACAGCCCAAGUUACAAGCUAAGCCCCAGGCUGACGAAACUGAACACCUGAAAGGGAAACAAAGGCAUUACUGAUCUUGAUUUAAAUCAUAAUUUUUAUGCUCUAGACAUUGCUUUAGCCAUUUAUUUCGUAUAAGCUCUUAUCUGAUUAAAUUUUUUUGUAUUUCUUUUCUUUAGGAUUCAUCGGUUAACCUAUGCAGACAAAAAAAUGGCUGCUGCAAUACUUUCGCCCAACACUAUGAAAACACCUGAAUGAAAUGCAUCUCUAAAACUAUAAAACAUGGAUGUCUUUAAUGUGACUGUAAUUUAUUUCCUAACCCUGAUUCCAGUCUUGCAUUCAGCAUUUAGUAGGUUCCCGCUGUCUGGUACCUCAUGCUACAUAAUUAACUUUUUAUCUGUCAUUUUGACAUAGCUAAGGACUUGUUUGCUUUCCAAAGCCAAAGAACCAGUUCUACACAAUGUUACAAAAAACACGAAUGCUUAACAAUUUUUUAACUGUAUUUGAAAUGUAUUCAGAGGAUUGCAACACAGGUUUAUAGUUUAUGUAUUCAAAUGAAUGUUUUUUUCUUUUCUUUUUUCCUUAUAUAUGCAAAUGCUUUCAUUUUGAGUGUGGUUUUAAACCAGCCAGUUGUUUUGAAUGUGCUUUAAAGCCAGUUGGAUCUGUAGGACUAAUGUUGCCUUUGAUAUAUCUUGUAACUCUAAGAUGGAAGUGACACCUACGAUAAGAUCACUAUGCUUUCAAGUCAGGAAACCGUGACAUCUGAUAAUUGUCCUGUGUUAACAACCAAAUAAUCAGAUAGCAUUUAAAAAUGUUUUUUUAAGGACAAGGAAGUGUUUACAUUUAAAUAUUUACAGUACUGUGUCUGCCACUGUUUACCAAGAUGCAUACCAAUCUAACUUUUACUUUGUUUUUACAUAGACGUAAAUAUAGAACAAAUAAGCUCUGAUCUGCUCAGU